RNAcentral lists this ribosomal RNA (253 nucleotides) under uncultured bacterium. RNAcentral's name for it is "partial 16S ribosomal RNA". It matches the Rfam family "Bacterial small subunit ribosomal RNA", at positions 524 to 776 of the family's 1533-position model. The record is from RNAcentral.
UACGAAGGGGACUAGCGUUGUUCGGAUUUACUGGGCGUAAAGCGCGCGUAGGCGGAUCGCUAAGUCAGGGGUGAAAUCCCAGGGCUCAACCCUGGAACUGCCUUUGAUACUGACGAUCUGGAGAUCGGGAGAGGUUGGUGGGAUUCCGAGUGUAGAGGUGAAAUUCGUAGAUAUUCGGAGGAACACCAGAAGCGAAGGCGGCCAACUGGCCCGAUACUGACGCUGAGGCGCGAAAGCGUGGGGAGCAAACAGG